This 334-nucleotide ribosomal RNA is filed under the name uncultured crenarchaeote. RNAcentral's name for it is "bacterial SSU rRNA". It matches the Rfam family "Archaeal small subunit ribosomal RNA", at positions 36 to 375 of the family's 1478-position model. Lineage: Archaea; Thermoproteati; Thermoproteota. The record is from RNAcentral.
GAGUGGGACUAAGCCAUGCGAGUUAACGUAGUAAUACGUGGCAUACGGCUCAGUAACACGUAGUCAACAUGCCCAGGGGACGUGGAUAACCUCGGGAAACUGAGGAUAAACCGCGAUAGGCCAUAAUUCCUGGAAUGGUUUAUGACUGAAACCUAUAUGGCCCCUGGAUUGGACUGCGGCCGAUCAGGCUGUUGGUGAGGUAAUGGCCCACCAAACCUGUAACCGGUACGGGCUCUGAGAGGAGAAGCCCGGAGAUGGGCACUGAGACAAGGGCCCAGGCCCUAUGGGGCGCAGCAGGCGCGAAACCUCUGCAAUAGGCGAAAGCCUGACAGGG